Molecule: ribosomal RNA, 253 nt
Filed under: uncultured bacterium
Lineage: Bacteria
Description: partial 16S ribosomal RNA
Rfam family: Bacterial small subunit ribosomal RNA
Source: RNAcentral
UACGGAGGGGGCAAGCGUUAUUCGGAAUUAUUGGGCGUAAAGGGCGCGUAGGCGGCUAGAUGUGUCGAAGGUGAAAUCCCUCGGCUCAACUGAGGAACUGCCUUUGAAACUGUCUGGCUUGAGGCCGGGAGAGGGUAGCGGAAUUCUUGGUGUAGCGGUGAAAUGCGUAGAUAUCAAGAGGAACACCUGAGGUGAAGACGGGUUGCUGGGCUGACACUGACGCUGAGGCGCGAAAGCCAGGGGAGCAAACGGG